CAGCCUCCCAAACCAUUAGGAUUACAGGCAUGGACCACCAUGCCUGGCUAGAUGCUAGAAGUUUUUAUUGUACAUUCUAUAUAUAGUCAGAUCCACAAAUAUUAAUUGUACAGAAUGAAGAAUUUUGACCAAUGUAUAGAUUAUAGAUCCCAGUAACCAUCACCUAGAGCAAGAUUUCAGAUAUUUCCACCAGCCCUAAAUUCCCUUGGGCUCCCUCACAGUCAGUCCCCACCCCAGAGGCAACCAUGGUACUGGUUUCUAUCACCGUAGGUUAGUUUCCUGAGCAUGCAUGUGAGCUUUACAAAUUUAAAAGAAAUACAUCUCCUACUGUAGAAGGAGGAAGUAGACCAAAAAUUCUUACUGUACAAAGAAGGUUACUUGAACUAAAAACAAAACAAAACAAAAACCUAAGGAAUCAUUGGCCAGAGAAACAGGAGGUUUUGGAGCCAACCCAAUGCCUUAGCAUUGGGACAGAGGGCUUGGGACACUUCUUGGAGCAGAGGCUGUGAGUGGUGGGGGGUGGGGAAGAGGACCAGCCAGGCUCCUCUGUAUUCUGAUAAAAGGUUCCUCCCCUGCCCAGCAACUGCCUGAGUUUUGAGCAAGGCCAAGGCCAGGAGGAAGGACGCUCUCAAGGGCAUCUGCCCAGAGACAGGGAGAAGUUAGGGCCCCUGGGCAGUUAAGUUAUUUGUCUUUCCUGCCUUCCCUUUCAAGGUCUGUCUGAUUUUGUGCCUCCUUCACACUUUGUCCUGCCUGGGGAGGGGAGAGGCUGAGGCUCUCAAAGGGACUUAGAAGGAGAGAGACAGAGUUCUGCCUGCCUGCCUUUUUUCCAAAACACCGAUUUGAGCGCCUACAUUGUGCGGCAGCUCCUGCCAGCUGCUGGGGAUCGGAGAAUGACAGACAUGUUUUAGCUCGCUAAGGAGUCAGAAUUGGCUCCAGGUGAGGCAAGGCCUCUACCUCCUUCAUGGUGGAGAUGAUGGCCCAAACAGGUGACUUAUUCAGGAACAACCAUCUGUUGGAACAGGGAGGCAAAGAAUGGUGCCCCCUGAUUCAACCCUAGCCAGGAAUAAGAAAGCAAAGGAAAUAAAACCUAUGUCCUUGUCUGGGCUUUCUCCCUUGCAGAUUUCCUGGGGCAGUGGAAAGAGCACUGACCCGAAGUCAGAAGACCUCAUUUCUGCUUCUAGGUCUUAGAAGCACUUCCUCUUUCUGGGCCCCAGUCUUUUCCAGGGAACAUGAAGAAGGCCGUCUCCAGAGGCCUUCAAAGGGUGCCUCCAACUCUGCCUUACCUGAGUGUACCCUGCAUUUUUCUGCCUCAGUGCCUUUGCUCAGGUCAUUUCUGCCACUGAAAGCCCCUUCCCUCCUGCUUCCUUCUUCUGACAGUCUCUUCAUCACGUAUGACCUAGUUAAGGUGCUGCUCCUGGAGACCCCCAGUCUUUAGGGAUCUGUGAGUGUGUCAUCCAGAUCCCCACUCCCAGAACAGAGCCUCCUCACAGUGAAAGUUAAGUGCAUAUAUCUACCUUGAAUUUUUAGGCAUUGGUUCUCAACUUUUUAAAAUUUCAAUUCACUUAGAGAAGUUAAGACUCCUCAAUUUAUAGGCCUCAUGUUUUCUUACUUUGUGUUGGAAAAAAAGUACUUGGUAAUCAAAAUUGGAGAGAACUAGAAGAGAAAUUUUUAUUAUUUUAUGUUUGAGUAUAUACACAUGUAUAUAUGCAGAGGAGUACUACCUGUCUGAUCUUCUUGCUGUGUGCCCUGUUUUGGUCACUAAUACCAGGUGGCAUGGUGGCUUGGGGCAGAUACCUGGGGGCCACUGCAGAUUCUCCCCUCUCCUAUACCAUCCCACCAGACCUCAUGUCCCAUGGGGUUUUCUUGUCCCAUCUAGACCCUCCUCAGGCCUCAUUAUCACUGCCUUCCUGUGGGUCAGAACCUCCCUCCCAGGGCUUCUAAUGGCAGAGGGAGGGCAGGAAAUCCCCCAGGCUUAUCCCAUGCUCCUGCAUCCUCCACGCUGCUGCCAGAAUGGUCGGCCUCAAAUACACAGCUCAUCUGCAACUUAGGAUCCUUCACUGGCUCAAAUGGAGGCCUGAAUUCCCGGCAUGGCACAGCCAGCCAUAUGCAGAACAAGCAACUCUCAGCCUGUCCACGACUCAUGUUAGAGCCUUACUCAGUACCCCUCCCCAGCUCACCAUGCUGGUGUUCACCUCCAAGCCUUGUGUGUGCUAUUCCCAGGCUGCCUUCCCUCCGUGACCUAGCAAGGACCUUCUCAUCUCUCCAGAUUGAAGAGGUCCUUCUUGGCCUCUGUGAGAGCACAUUUUGUAAUAAUGCUCACCAUCAUUAUUUAAAAGCCAGUGUUUCUACAGGCACACACCAGGCACCAUUCUGCUGUUGUGAUGCUGUGUGUGUGUGUGUGUGUAUACAUAUAGAUCAACUUAUUUAAUCCUCAUAACAACCUUGAUAGGUACUAUCAUUACUAUCUCCAUCUUAUAGAUGGGAAAACUGAUACACAGAGAGUUUAAGUGACUAUCUGGAGGGACAUGCCAAGUAAGUGAUAAAGUGGGAUCUUUCCACAGCCAGUUCUGCAGAAGGAUCUAUGCAGUUAAAUCCAGCACCGUGCUGUGCCUCUUCAUUCACUGUUAGGGGUAGUUUGCCAACUUGAAUAGCUUUGAGCAACCAACAUCCACUGACAGGUGAUGAAAGAACAAAUUCAUUAACAUUUAAUGGGGGCUGGGGUUGUAGCUCAGUGGUAGAGCACUUGCCUAGCAUAUGUGAGGCACUGAGUUCAAUCCUCAGCACAUAAAAAUAAAUUAAUUAAAUAAAUCUAUUUUUUAAAAAUUUAAUCAGAUGAAGAAAUAAGUCUCAUCUUCAUUUAUGUAAGAUGUCUGUCAUACCAAAGCCAUUUUAUUUUUUAAUAAACAUAGAAUAUUUUAAACCUGUAAUCCCAGUGAUUUGGGGGCCUGAGGCAGGCAAGUUUGAGGUCAGCCUACACAAUUUAUCCAGACUCUGUCUCAAAAAAUAAAAAAGGGCUGGGGAUGUAGCUCAAUGGUAGAGGGCAUCUGAGUUUAAUUCCCAGUACCCACUCCAACAAGACUAUUUAGGGAAAACAAGACCUGAGAGUAAAAUCCCAUACAUCUUCUGUCUUUUAAAAUGGAAUUCCUAGAAUCUCCAAGCCUAUGUUUUUUCUAGUUAGUCAAGAGAGUCGUCCCUUUGGGCUGGGGAUGUGGCUCAAGUGGUAGCGCGCUCGCCUGGCAUACGUGCGGCCCAGGUUCGAUCCUCAGCACCACAUACAAAC
Molecule: long non-coding RNA, 3280 nt
Filed under: Marmota monax (woodchuck)
Lineage: Eukaryota; Metazoa; Chordata; Mammalia; Rodentia; Sciuridae
Rfam family: tRNA (bases 2723-2783)
Source: RNAcentral